RNAcentral lists this ribosomal RNA (6757 nucleotides) under Triticum aestivum (bread wheat). RNAcentral describes it as "partial small subunit ribosomal RNA". The record is from RNAcentral. Lineage: Eukaryota; Viridiplantae; Streptophyta; Magnoliopsida; Poales; Poaceae.
CUUUGCUUUGCUAAGGAAUGACUCGAGCAUAGAGGUACCUGUUCCUGCUUCUCUCUCCCUGCUCACGCAGAGCUGGUGUCCAGCCGCCGCCGGGUGCCCUCCGAGGCCGUCGACCGGAAGUCACCGCGCCGGGCUAAGCAGGGAAGCGAGGCUGCCUGUUGAACCUUCGAGCCAGGCCGGCCUCGCCGUCGGCGAUGGCUCGCUCGCCGGGGACGGGGGCGAUGUGCCCCGAUUGUCUGGAGCGGCGCAUCCGAUCCGACCUCGCUGGUUCCGGACUUUCCUUCGUCCACGGCGUCUCUGACUCCCCGCUCCCCUUCGCCUCCUCCGCUGUCGUCCAGAUGGCAUCUGAUGGAUCCGACCAAUGUAUUGGGAGCCAGAAGACCUGUGGUUAUUUUGUGUUGGUGGUACUAAAUGGUGGUAAGACAUAUGUGGAUACAAAAAAAUGUGAAAACAACCCAUUGGAGCAAUCACUCAUAUUUAAAGAUGAUAAUCAUUGUGCUGUGCAAGCAGAUUCCUCUCCUGGUAUUGAACAUGUUGGAGAUCUUCAAAGUUCUUCUAGCUCGAAUAAUCAGCAACUAACUGUAAACAUAAUCACCAAGUUAACUCCUGUUUACUAUCUGGGCAGAGUCGCCACUACAGAAAUUAGAGAUCUUAUGGCAAGUUAUAUGAAUUUAUCCAUUGAACAGGAUGUGAUUAAUUCACUAAAUCUGUUGUGUGAAAACACCAUUAGUGGACCAGCUGGUUUAGGUUUUCUCAGUUUUGUUGGAUUUUCAGCAUUUGAUGAUAUACAUCCUUCUGGGCUUGUGAGACACCCCAACAUCUUACCUGUGUUAGCUGUUGUAGAAUCAUCUGAUUGUUGCUACAUGUUUCAACCAAAGGCUCCAUACACUUUGGAGAACAUCAUGCACUACAGUCCAGAGGCAUUGUGCUCAGAUUGGCACAUCAGAUUUUUCAUCUACCAAAUAAUGUCUGCAUUGGCAUAUCUUCAUGAUUUUGGAGUUCAUCACGGCAAUCUGAAACCAUCAACCAUUUUGAUGUCAGAUUCUCUAUGGCCUUAUCUCAGCAUAAGUGAUAUAUCUCAUGUUAAACAGAACCGGGGUUUUGGGGGACCUGAAGGUUCAAUACUUAAUUCAUGCUGUGCUGAGGAGGAUUGUUCUUCCAGAUCCAUUUUUGCUAGUUUCAAUCUUCCAUCAUCCUUAGAUUGGUCUUCUCACUUCAAACGAUGGUGGACGGGUGAGUUGAGCAAUUAUGAGUACCUUCUUGUCUUGAACAAGUUAGCUGGUAGGAGAUGGGGUGAUCCAGCUUUUCAUCCGGUGAUGCCUUGGGUAAUAGAUUUCACAGUGAGGCCUGACGAAAAUUCUGACAUUGGCUGGAGAGACCUCACCAAAAGUAAAUGGCGGUUGGCAAAGGGCGAUGAACAAUUGGAUUUUACUUACUCAUCAUCUGAUGUUCCAUAUCAUGUUUCUGAUGAGUGUCUCUCAGAGCUAGCAGUUUGCAGUUACAAAGCAAGAAGGCUAUCAAAGACCAUCUUGAGGUCAGCUGUCCGCUCUGUCUACGAGCCCAACGAAUACCCAUCUAGUAUGCAAAGGCUUUAUCAAUGGACUCCAGAUGAAUGCAUCCCAGAGUUCUAUAGCGAUCCCUGGAUUUUUGUCUCUCUUCAUUCUGAAAUGAGUAAUUUGGCUUUGCCUUCCUGGGUGACCUCUUCAGAGGAAUUCAUUUGUCUUCACAGGGAUGCCUUAGAGAGUGACCGAGUCUCACAACAACUGCAUCAUUGGAUUGAUAUAACCUUUGGCUAUAAACUUGCUGGGGAGGCAUCUGUUGAAGCUAAGAAUGUCAUGUUGCCUCCCAGUGAUCCAUCAAGGCCUAAAUCAAUUGGGCGACGGCAGCUUUUUACAAAGCCACAUCCUAAGCGUCUUAUUAGCACACCUCACUCAGCCUACCACAAUAAAGUGGAAUCUUGUGCAAGAUGCCAAAGAAAAGGAAGUAACUCAACUACUGAUGUAUUGUUAAAUGACUGUAAUCCCCCAAAUAUGUUUUCACAAGUUGAUUAUUUGGAAGAGUUUGAACAAGCAACAUUAUUUAUGGAGCUUCAACAUCAUUUGAAUCCAAUAUACAGUUACUCUAACACUGCUGCUUGUUGUUGUUCAUCAGUCAAAUAUCUCAAGAGACAAUUUUCAGAUCAGGAGGUAUUGCAACCUGAUAGUGUAUUAUCGGUGGUGCCUGAUUUUGAUUUUGGCUCCUAUCUUGAAUGCUUUGAGUCUGAUGAUAGUUCUUCUAUUGGUUAUCAAGAGCUGUUGCGCUGGAAGCAAAGGUCUUGUUCUGUUAUUGAGCAUCAUGCAAAUGAUAUAUUUUCAAUAGGGUGCAUCUUAGCAGAAAUCUAUCUGCACAGACCACUUUUUGAUGCUUCCUUGCUAGCUGCAUAUAAAGAAACUGGUAUGCUGCCAGGAGCACUCCAUGAAUUGCCUGUUCAUGUCCGUUUGCUUGUUGAGUCAUGCAUCCAAAGGCAAUGGGAAAGGAGGCCGUGUUCAAAGCAUCUUCUGGAGUCACCAUAUUUUCCUCCAUCAGUUCGAUCCGCAUAUAUGUUUCUUGCUCCACUUCAACUUCUGUGUACAUCUGGAGACCGCCUGAAGUAUGUUACUAAGCUUGCAAGUGAAGGGACACUUAAAGCCAUGGGAGAAUUUGCUGCUGAAGUGUGUGCACCUUACUGCCUACCUUUUGUUUCAUCAUCUCGGUUGGAUGUUGACACCGAGUCUUGCUUGCGUCUGCUUAAAGAGUUUUUGAAGUGCUUGAGUGUCCAAGCAGCUAAGAAACAUAUUCUGCCCAUCAUUCAGAAAAUCUUACAGGUACCAGAAUAUUCCCAUCUGAAGGUUUCUCUCCUUCAAGAUUCUUUUGUCCGAGAGUUAUGGAAAAAAUUGGGAAAACAAACUUAUAUUGAGAAGGUGCAUCCGUUGGUCAUAGCAAACUUACACAAUUCACCUAACAAGAUCACUGCAUCUUCUGCAUCCAUUGUUUUAAUUGGUUCAAGUGAGGAACUAGGAAUACCAAUCACUGUUCAUCAGACAGUUUUACCACUAAUCCACUCUUUCGGCAAAGGUUUAUGUGAUGACGGAAUUGAAACUUUGGUCAGGAUAGGUGGACUUCUUGGGGAAAGUUUUAUUGUCAAGCAAAUUCUCCCCUUGCUGAGGAAUGUUAUACAUUUUUGUAUCGACUCCUCCAAGGUGACUAAGCCAGAACCACAGCAGAGUUGGAACUCUUUUGCUCUGAUUGAUGGCUUAUCUGCGUUGGAAGGCCUUGUAUCAGUUCUUCCUGUUAAGGCAGUUCUCAGGGAGCUUCUCCAGGACCAAGUCUGUCUUCAUAUAAAGAUUCUUAUGCUGAUCCAUUUGGACCUUGAUGUGAUUCAGGUGGCAGCUACUGCAUUUGUUGACCUUUGUCUACGAAUUGGACCAGAUAAUACUGUCAUACAUGUUUUGCCACAUCUAAAAGAGCUUUUUGCUGAAUUGGCCUUUUUUCAAGACUCUUCUGCUGUUAGCCUUCCUACAAAAGGGUUAAAAAUCUCAGAAAGAAACAAAAGUGAGACGAUUAAAAUGGAAUCUAGAAUUGAUCUCGUGUUGUUGCUAUAUCCUUUCUUGGCAUCACUUGUUGGAAUAGAGAAGCUCCGUGAAUACUGCUCUACAUGGUUUCUAUUGGAGCAGUCUCUUCAAAGGUUGUACAAUUGGAAGUUUGAGCCUUCCAGUAAAUGUUCUAUAAGUGGUGAAAACAUGAAAACUCAAAGGUUUCAGCCUGGCAACGACACCUCGUCUGAGGUUGUUCCAACAGAACUUUUUAAUGGGGCAGGGUCGUCUGUGUCUCAAUCUCAAAUCCCUAAAACUGGUUGGAUGGCAGCUUCCAAGCACAGAUUUAGGCUCGAGCAUGGAACAUCUAGUGACAAUUUGUCUGCAUCAACUUCUGGAAAUCAGCCCUGGUUUUGGUUCCCUUCUCCUGACAGUAGUUGGGGCGUACCAGAUCUUCUUGGACGCAGUAGCGGUUUGAAGGAUGAACUUCCAUGGAAGAUCGAAGCUUCAGUCCUUUACUCAGCCCGUGCACACCCUGGGGCUCUGCGGUCAUUAGAAGUCCAUGAUGAUGAGUGCACGAUUUUUACUGGGGGAGUUGGACCUGGUUUUAAAGGAAGUAUACAGCGUUGGGAGUUGGCCAACAUGAAUUGCACAUCUGGAUAUUACGGGCAUGAAGAGGUUGUCAAUUCCAUCUGUAUCCUGUCAAUUACUGGAAAAGUAGCUUCUUGUGAUGGCACGAUUCAUAUUUGGAAUGGGCAGACAGGAAAGCUCAUAGCAGCUCAUACCGAGUCGUCAACAAGCUUUCCGCUGCAAACUGCAUCUGUUGAACAGGCAAACAUGCUUAAUCAGGACGCGCUCUCAGGUGGAAUAUUGUCGAAUGCAUUUCGUGGUAGCUUGUAUACGACCAUGCAUUACAUGGCAUCUGAAGAUAAACUUGUUGCUGGCAUGGGAAAUGGAUCUAUCAGAUUUAUUGAUAUCUCUCGGGAUCAGAAGCUGCAUUUAUGGAAGAGUGAUUCGGCUGAAAUCUCCUUCUCAUCACUCGUGUCAACUAUUUGCUCGUCUGGCUCAGACAAGCCGAGGAAUGGAAGCCUUGUGGCUUCAUCAUCCUGGAUUGCAGCAGGUCUAAGCUCUGGUUAUUGUCGAUUACUUGACGAGCGUAGUGGAAAAAUCAUUGCAGUUUGGCGAGCACAUGAUGGUCACAUUACGAAGUUGGCAUCACCAGAGGACCACUUGAUUGCAUCUAGCUCCCUUGACAAGACUCUUCGAAUUUGGGAUCUAAGAAGGAACCUAUCAGUCCAGUCAAACAUUUUCAGAAGCCAUUCAGAUGGCAUCUUUGACUUCUCUGUUUGGGGUCAAGACCUGUUAUCAGUGUCAAGAAACAAAAUUGCACUUACUUCCCUAUCGAGACCAACAAAUGAGAUCGGACAUCAGCAGCUCGUACUUCAGAACUUAUAUUCGACUGACAGAGGAGUAAAAUAUAAAAACAUGUCUGUUCUUUCGGCUAUUUCUGUGCUUCCUUUGUCAAGAUUGUUUGUCGUUGGAACAGAAGAUGGUUUUCUCAAAAUCUGCCACUAGAUGGUUCCAGUAGUGGUUGUAUUGCUGUCGUGAGUUCGAAGUCCCAUUGCUGUAUCUUUGAUUUGGAGAGUGAGGAUUUGAACCCAUGAGCUGGAUCACCACAACCUUGUCCUGUGUUCCGUGUCUGUCUCUUUAAGUAUUUCCGUCAUUCUUCUCAGUGAGCUUUCAGUAUAUCUUGGUUCUUGUUUAUUUUCUGUGAGCAUUCAUGGGUUGGUUCAAAUUGCGGCAUCAUCUUUAGUUAUGAAUGGCUGGUUCUACUUAUCUACUACAAAUGCCAGUUGUAAUGGGAACCGUUGACGAACUUCUAAGUAAACUAACCACUACUUGUACUUACAUCAUGUUCUUUGUUAAGAUGUUAGUCUUCCUAUUUGAGAUAUGCACUGAUUAUAUCACAUACUCAUGUAGCUAAAAGCCUAAAAGUACCCUGUAAUUGCUAGUGGCCCUUGAUGCUAAUUUCUUUGAAUGUGAAUAUGACAUCUCGUUUGGGCCUCAAUGAAGUAUAAGAAGGGUAAGUCAGCUUUUAGCAUAUAGGCAGAUUAGUUUUCAAUUUGAGUUCUAUUUAAGAAAAAUGCUCCCGAUAUUAGUUUAACUACUGGUAUUUGAUCUCUGGGUUAAAAUAUUUACUACUAAAUAUUUCUUGAGAUAACAAUCCGUUGCCAUUUAUUAGCAUAAAUUUAAGAGUCCAAAUAAAGGGGCAUCUGUUUCUUGUGCCAAAAUAAAGCUGAAAAUAUGGCGUUGGAUGUCAUCAUCAGAUUAGGAGUAGUUCUUGAAGAAUCCCGCGUGUAUGAAAACUGGAGAUAGUCAAGACUUGAGCUCAAAGCUGAAGAAAAAUAGGUUGUAAACAACUCUGACCACAGCUAUAGAAUAAAAUUCAGCAUUAUGUGCACAUGUUUGGGCUCAAAUUUUCCUGAGAGCUAUGACCAAAAUAGCAUUAUCUGGAAUUGUCGGCAUUGAUGUUGCCCUCCUUUUGCUAUUGUCAUACGGAAUUAGCAGCAAUGAUCUCAAACACUUGUGAUAUUUCUAUGGACCUGCAGUCUUAUUCACAUUGAGGUUGAUGUGAAUCAAGCCAGUAGUUUUCAUCUGUGUACCGGAGGUGAUUGGUAAAUGUACUUACCGGGCGGUAACCGAAAAUACCGCAUGGUAACCAAAAGCUGAUUCUGAUGCGCAACAUUGUAAAAAGAACUUUUAUCUGGCAUUAUUACAAGAAAACUAAACAGACGGAACAAAGCAGAAAACUGGACAAUCUUUUCUUUUCCUUGAGUUGUUCUAUAUGUUUGUUUUUCUUUUAUUCUUGUCAAAGCAACCACCUAACCAUAGCUUUUAUUGAGUUACUAGACACCAGUCCACAACAGCCACUAGCUUGUCGCUAUUUCAGUGAAUUCACCAGAGCAAGGGUCAUUAUUAAGCUCAAGACCCUGCAGAUUCGAGUUUGACAGGCUCGUCAACUGAUGCUCCCAGAUUCGAGUUUGUGAGAAAUGCCUGGUCUUACGUGAACAGGCCUAGGUUCUUUGUCAGACCCACAUAAUACAUCAACCUGGCAGUAAAACAAUCGUUAUAGCUCUGUACCACAAUACUUGUUGGGAGAACUUGUGCUAGUGUUCCCCAACUACAAGUAUUUCGGUACAGAGGGA